AAGCCUUACAUUUCAGAAAAACGUCUCGUUCUUUUAGGGCCGAACGGCCCUGACUGCCAUGAGACGCUUAUUCGGUGCCGAUUGAGACACGGUCGUCGGCGCCAUUAUGUCCCCACCGUUCGCAACAGGCCUAAAUGACCCACAUUUCCCACGCGUCCGCCUUAUUAUUCAGCCCCCAAUUUAGGUACACGAGUUGUGUACUGCACGAAGGCUAUGACAAUAAGAUCUCACAGCUUCUCCUUCUACCUUAAAGGCCACAUCGCCACCUUACACAUCUAUAGCCUUUCUUGUGGUCACCGCUUCCGUCAAAAGACCAGCUGUUGACUGCGAGUCCGUGCUUUCGCACCCCUCGCUUGUCCUAAUCUAUGGGACCAUCAGGUGCGGCAUUUGCUACUUGUGAUCUACAACCAGUAUGCACUAGUCACAGCGUCGAUUGCGUAAUUCAUAAGGUGGACCCUUCAUGCCAGCG
This 469-nucleotide ribosomal RNA is filed under the name uncultured Chlorobiota bacterium. RNAcentral describes it as "uncultured Chlorobi bacterium partial 16S ribosomal RNA". The record is from RNAcentral. Lineage: Bacteria; Pseudomonadati; Chlorobiota.